RNAcentral lists this long non-coding RNA (938 nucleotides) under Marmota monax (woodchuck). The record is from RNAcentral. Lineage: Eukaryota; Metazoa; Chordata; Mammalia; Rodentia; Sciuridae.
GGAGCAACAGGCCAGUGUAGCCUGAAGUUAGAUUGGCAGGAAGGAUCUGGCAAUUGCCUAGCAGGGUGUCAUUCGUACAUUUACUCAUUCAUUCAACCAAUGGUUUGUUCAGGAGUAGUUAUGCCAUGUGGGCACUGGUGAUAGAACAGUGAGCAAGAAGAUAUGGACUAGGCUCUCUCAGAGUUUAACUGGGCAGGGGCAGGGUGUGUCAGAGUAAGAGCCAGGAAAGGCUUCUGAUGAGGUGACAUUUGAGCCAAACUCUGAAAGAAGAGCAGUCCUGCAACCAUCUGCAAAAAAAGUAUCUGGGCAGAAGGAACAGUAAGCUCAGCAUCCCUGAAAUAAGAAGGAGCUUGGGGUGCUCAGAUCAGAAAAGAGAGUGUCUGUAAAACAAUAAGAUGUGGGUGGGGCAUGAGAAAUAAGAGAGAGUUAGGGGGCCAGAGCACCAGGGCCACAGCAGGUGGCAGCUUCAUUGGCGAGGUUGAAGACAGACACCACACUCUCAUAUCUACAAGGGUGAGCCUCAGAAGACAUCAUUCUUUUUUUUUUUAUUGGUUGUUCAAAACAUUACAAAGCUCAUGAUAUAUCAUCUUUCAUACAUUUGACUCAAUUGGGUUAUGAACUCCCAUUUUUACCCCAAAUACAAAUUGCAGAAUCACAUCGGUUAAGAAGACAUCAUUCUAAGUGAACUUGGUACACAAUCCACACCAAGUUCUAGAAUAGGCAAAACUAGACUGUGAUGGCAAAAAAAAUCAGAAUGGCAGCUGCCUCCCACGUGCCAGUUGGGCAGAAGACAGGAAUUGACUGGGAAAGGGCAUUAUGGGCAUUUCUGAUCAUGUUCUAUAUCUUAAUAGGGCUGUGGGACACACAGGUCAUGGUGACCAAAAUACCUGUCAAGAACAGCUAAGAGAAGGAAAAGUUUAUUUGGGGCUCACAGUUUC